Long non-coding RNA from Perca fluviatilis (European perch), 570 nucleotides. RefSeq lists it as uncharacterized. The record is from RefSeq and is a predicted model, not a curated record. The transcript has 4 exons. Lineage: Eukaryota; Metazoa; Chordata; Actinopteri; Perciformes; Percidae.
GUGAGCGGAUGCGUGAGUGUGUGUGCAGAGUGAGUCUCAGGAGCGUACUGGUGGAGGGUCAUCAUGGUGUCUGUGGGUUUAGCAGCACUCAUAAUAACUGUUGUGGCGGUCAACAUAUGGAUGAGAACUAAAGGAAACAGAACAGAGAUGGAUGGCAAUGCUGAGCAUCAUGAUGAAGAUGAAGGUACAGUGACCUAUGACAAUGUUGGAGAACCUUCUGUUUCUAUCAGACUCCACUGAUCAAAAACUUCAACAUCAACUCACCAGAAAAAAAAGAAAAACUGUAACAUAAUUUUGAGUCAUAUCUAAAAACUGAAGUGUAACUUGUAUUUCAGUUUAACAAAUACAUCUUGAUGUUAGGAUUCGACUCAUUGCUUUUAAAGGUAAAGCUUUGCUCAUAUUUCAAAGUUAAAUCUGUGUAUAUAUGUAUUAGAAAUUAAGAUAAGAGAAACUUUAUUGUCAUCCUUUUAUAUACAAUGCAGUAGCCUAGAAAUCUAGACGCACCCUAGCAGCAGCAAAUAUAAUUUGCAGCCAGGAUCAGUCGAGCAACUCUCCGUUGGCUUGCGAGCU